This is a long non-coding RNA of Gallus gallus (chicken), 419 nucleotides long. The record is from Ensembl. Lineage: Eukaryota; Metazoa; Chordata; Aves; Galliformes; Phasianidae.
UUUAGAACAAGCUGUAAGUAAAGAUGGAGGUUGUACAGCGACUCCAGUACUGCAGUUACGUCUAGAAGACAUAUGAUUUGAAGACGGAGAACUUCCUAGACUCUUCUCAGGACUCAGUGUGAGGAGGAGAGAGUGAGCUGCUUCAAGAAAGGUCAAACAACAGAGCAGAAGAAUGCAAUGAUAACGGUACUCUCUGGAACCAUAGGAUACAUCCUCCUUUUCUCUCUCUCUUGACUUGAUAGACUAGAAGCUGCAAGGCUUCCAAAAACAGAGAACAUGCAUUAACAGUUUGAAGGGAAAUGAAAAUCUGCAUUGUUUGAACAAAAUAGUUCAGUGAUCUACUGCUGCUGUCUGCUGAACCCAGUUACACAGAUAACAGCAGAGAGGCAGCCUGACAGAAUGGCAUCUGAUAUGAGGAG